CCUACGGGAGGCAGCAGUGGGGAAUAUUGGGCAAUGGGCGCAAGCCUGACCCAGCAACGCCGCGUGAAGGAAGAAGGCUUUCGGGUUGUAAACUUCUUUUCUCAGGGACGAAGAAAGUGACGGUACCUGAGGAAUAAGCCACGGCUAACUACGUGCCAGCAGCCGCGGUAAUACGUAGGUGGCAAGCGUUAUCCGGAUUUAUUGGGUGUAAAGGGCGUGUAGGCGGGAGCGCAAGUCAGACGUGAAAACUCAGGGCUCAACCCUGAGCCUGCAUUUGAAACUGUGUUUCUUGAGUGCUGGGGAGGCAAUCGGAAUUCGGGGUGUAGCGGUGAAAUGCGUAGAUAUACGGAGGAACACCGGUGGCGAAGGCGGAUUGCUGGACAGUAACUGACGCUGAGGCGCGAAAGCGUGGGGAGCAAACAGGAUUAGAUACCCCAGUAGUC
This 443-nucleotide ribosomal RNA is filed under the name uncultured bacterium. Its description in RNAcentral is "partial 16S ribosomal RNA". It matches the Rfam family "Bacterial small subunit ribosomal RNA", at positions 338 to 795 of the family's 1533-position model. The record is from RNAcentral.